Molecule: long non-coding RNA, 241 nt
Filed under: Sorghum bicolor (sorghum)
Lineage: Eukaryota; Viridiplantae; Streptophyta; Magnoliopsida; Poales; Poaceae
Description: long non-coding RNA (SBIC_LNC006360)
Source: RNAcentral
UGGGCGAUGGUAGCAGAAUAGAGAGGAUAACUAUGGUUUCUCUACUUCAAAGGGGUAUGUCUAAGUCUGGGACGAAUCACGUGAUAAGAGUACACCACAAAGGAUGCUUAUCCAUAGGCCGAUAAACCCUACCCGUCCUGCUAAUGAGAGGUGGACUACAGGGGACCAACGUAACUGUCACCUACGCGGCCUACCACACGAUCCAGCUAGUCAGGGGAUAUCCACAAGUAAUCUAGGUCUA